Molecule: ribosomal RNA, 468 nt
Filed under: uncultured bacterium
Lineage: Bacteria
Description: partial 16S ribosomal RNA
Rfam family: Bacterial small subunit ribosomal RNA
Source: RNAcentral
GACGAACGCUGGCGGCGUGCUUAACACAUGCAAGUCGAACGGAAAGGCCCUGCUCUUGUGGGGUGCUCGAUUGGCGAACGGGUGAGUAACACGUGAGUAACCUGCCCUUGACUUUGGGAUAACUUCAGGAAACUGGGGCUAAUACCGGAUAGGAUCUCCUGCUGCAUGGUGGGGGUUGGAAAGUUUCGGCGGUUGGGGAUGGACUCGCGGCUUAUCAGCUUGUUGGUGGGGUAGUGGCUUACCAAGGCUUUGACGGGUAGCCGGCCUGAGAGGGUGGCCGGCCACCUUGGGACUGAGAUAGGGCCCAGACUCCUACGGGAGGCAGUAGUGGGGAAUAUUGCACAAUGGGCGGAAGCCUGAUGCAGCAGCGCCGCGUGCGGGAUGACGGCCUUCGGGUUGUAAACCGCUUUCGCCUGUGACGAAGCGUGAGUGACGGUAAUGGGUAAAGAAGCACCGGCUAACUACGUG